GACGAACGCUGGCGGCGUGCCUAAUACAUGCAAGUCGAACGCUUCUUUCCUCCCGAGUGCUUGCACUCAAUUGGAAAGAGGAGUGGCGGACGGGUGAGUAACACGUGGGUAACCUACCCAUCAGAGGGGGAUAACACUUGGAAACAGGUGCUAAUACCGCAUAACAGUUUAUGCCGCAUGGCAUAAGAGUGAAAGGCGCUUUCGGGUGUCGUUGAUGGAUGGACCCGCGGUGCAUUAGCUAGUUGGUGAGGUAACGGCUCACCAAGGCCACGAUGCAUAGCCGACCUGAGAGGGUGAUCGGCCACACUGGGACUGAGACACGGCCCAGACUCCUACGGGAGGCAGCAGUAGGGAAUCUUCGGCAAUGGACGAAAGUCUGACCGAGCAACGCCGCGUGAGUGAAGAAGGUUUUCGGAUCGUAUAACUCUGUUGUUAGAGAAGAACAAGGACGUUAGUAACUGAACGUCCCCUGACGGUAUCUAACCAGAAAGCCACGGCUAACUACGUG
RNAcentral lists this ribosomal RNA (508 nucleotides) under uncultured bacterium. Its description in RNAcentral is "partial 16S ribosomal RNA". It matches the Rfam family "Bacterial small subunit ribosomal RNA", at positions 28 to 507 of the family's 1533-position model. The record is from RNAcentral.